Trachemys scripta elegans is the source of this 307-nucleotide long non-coding RNA. RefSeq lists it as uncharacterized. The transcript has 3 exons. The record is from RefSeq and is a predicted model, not a curated record. NCBI's taxonomy places the organism in Eukaryota, Metazoa, Chordata, Testudines, Emydidae.
GUGACGGCAUUUCCUGGCUCUGAGAGGACCUCAGUGUGCCACAAGAUAACUGCUGUUUCCUGCUCUGGCACACCCAGCACUAUCCACAGUGGCUCCAUGGUUACACUGGUUUGUGGGAGAGAAUCAAUGUGCACCAAAAGACACAAAUGGAGGAAUGAGCCUGCCACUACCAAAGACACUGGAUGGGGAUAGAGGACUAUCACUCCCCCGUUCUCCCAGAAAUCAAUCCAUCAGCAGGUUCCUCAGUUCCACUGAUAAUGGUUAAGAAUCGCCUCCAUCUCUUCAUCUGCACCCACUAAAGUGCUGG